GGAGGCGUGGCAGAGUGGUCGAUUGCACCGGUCUUGAAAACCGGCAAAGGGCAACCUUUCGUGAGUUCGAAUCUCACCGCCUCCGCCA
RNAcentral lists this transfer RNA (88 nucleotides) under Gammaproteobacteria bacterium. Its description in RNAcentral is "tRNA-Ser". It matches the Rfam family "tRNA". Rfam says of the family: Transfer RNA (tRNA) molecules are approximately 80 nucleotides in length. Their secondary structure includes four short double-helical elements and three loops (D, anti-codon, and T loops). The record is from RNAcentral. Lineage: Bacteria; Pseudomonadati; Pseudomonadota; Gammaproteobacteria.